This 964-nucleotide ribosomal RNA is filed under the name uncultured Atopobium sp. RNAcentral's name for it is "bacterial SSU rRNA". It matches the Rfam family "Bacterial small subunit ribosomal RNA", at positions 8 to 987 of the family's 1533-position model. The record is from RNAcentral. Lineage: Bacteria; Bacillati; Actinomycetota; Coriobacteriia; Coriobacteriales; Atopobiaceae.
AGAGUUCGAUCCUGGCUCAGGAUGAACGCUGGCGGCGCGCCUAACACAUGCAAGUCGAACGAUUAAAGCACCUUCGGGUGUGUAUAAAGUGGCGAACGGCUGAGUAACACGUGGGCAACCUGCCCCUCUCAUUGGGAUAGCCACGGGAAACCGUGGAUAAUACCGAAUACUUCGAGACUUCCGCAUGGAAGACUCGAGAAAGCUCCGGCGGAGAGGGAUGGGCCCGCGGCCUGUUAGCUUGUUGGUGGGGUAACGGCCUACCAAGGCAAUGAUGGGUAGCUGGGUUGAGAGACCGACCAGCCAGAUUGGGACUGAGACACGGCCCAGACUCCUACGGGAGGCAGCAGUGGGGAAUCUUGCACAAUGGGCGAAAGCCUGAUGCAGCGACGCCGCGUGCGGGAUGAAGGCCUUCGGGUUGUAAACCGCUUUCAGCAGGGACGAGGCGAAAGUGACGGUACCUGCAGAAGAAGCCCCGGCUAACUACGUGCCAGCAGCCGCGGUAAUACGUAGGGGGCAAGCGUUAUCCGGAUUCAUUGGGCGUAAAGCGCUCGUAGGCGGUCUGUUAGGUCGGGAGUUAAAUCCGGGGGCUCAACCCCCGUUCGCUCCCGAUACCGGCAGACUUGAGUUUGGUAGGGGAAGGUGGAAUUCCUAGUGUAGCGGUGGAAUGCGCAGAUAUUAGGAAGAACACCAGUGGCGAAGGCGGCCUUCUGGGCCAUAACUGACGCUGAGGAGCGAAAGCUAGGGGAGCAAACAGGAUUAGAUACCCUGGUAGUCCUAGCCGUAAACGAUGGACACUAGGUGUGGGGGAAUACUUCUUCCGUGCCGCAGCUAACGCAUUAAGUGUCCCGCCUGGGGAGUACGGCCGCAAGGCUAAAACUCAAAGGAAUUGACGGGGGCCCGCACAAGCGGCGGAGCAUGCGGAUUAAUUCGAUGCAACGCGAAGAACCUUACCAAGGCUUGACAU